CUUUAAUUCUGCACGCCCCCCAUCUGUUAAUAACAACUAGCUGAGACGUAAAGCGUGGGGCGGGCGGUUUCAUAAAGAGAGAUGUGACAAGCGCCGGCCUCAACAUGGCAAUUGCAUUUCGAACUGCCGAAGUAGAGUAUUGUAGAGGUGGGUAGACUCCCAGGUGUAGCGGUGAAAUGCGUAGAGAUCUGGAGGACUACCGGUGGAGAAGGCGGCUCUCUCCACAAAGACUGACGCUCAGGCACGAAAGCGUGCGGAGCAAACAGGAUUAGAUACCCUGGUAGUCCACGCCGUAAACGAUGUCUACUCGGAGUUUGGUGUCUUGAACACUGGGCUCUCAAGCUAACGCAUUAAGUAGACCGCCUGGGGAGUACGGCCGCAAGGUUAAAACUCAAAUGAAUUGACGGGGGCCCGCACAAGCGGUGGAGCAUGUGGUUUAAUUCGAUGCAACGCGAAGAACCUUACCUACUCUUGACAUCCACAGAAUUCGCUAGAGAUAGCUUAGUGCCUUCGGGAACUGUGAGACAGGUGCUGCAUGGCUGUCGUCAGCUCGUGUUGUGAAAUGUUGGGUUAAGUCCCGCAACGAGCGCAACCCCUAUCCUUAUUUGCCAGCACGUAAUGGUGGGAACUCUAGGGAGACUGCCGGUGAUAAACCGGAGGAAGGUGGGGACGACGUCAAGUCAUCAUGGCCCUUACGAGUAGGGCUACACACGUGCUACAAUGGCGAGUACAGAGGGUUGCAAAGCCGCGAGGUGGAGCUAAUCUCACAAAGCUCGUCGUAGUCCGGAUUGGAGUCUGCAACUCGACUCCAUGAAGUCGGAAUCGCUAGUAAUCGUGGAUCAGAAUGCCACGGUGAAUACGUUCCCGGGCCUUGUACACACCGCCCGUCACACCAUGGGAGUGGGCUGCAAAAGAAGUGGGUAGCUUAACCUUCGGGGGGGCGCUCACCACUUGUGUUCAGUGG
Molecule: ribosomal RNA, 964 nt
Filed under: Shewanella hafniensis
Lineage: Bacteria; Pseudomonadati; Pseudomonadota; Gammaproteobacteria; Alteromonadales; Shewanellaceae
Description: bacterial SSU rRNA
Rfam family: Bacterial small subunit ribosomal RNA
Source: RNAcentral